UCUCCGUUGGUGAACCAGCGGAGGGAUCAUUACAGAGUUGCAAAACUCCCAAACCAUUGUGAACGUUACCUAUCCCGUUGCUUCGGCGGGCAGCCCGGGCCCCGCGCCCGGCGCCCCCGGCCCCCCGUGGGCGCCCGCCGGAGGUAAACCAAACCCUUGAAUUGCACGGCCUCUCUGAGUCUUCUGUACUGAAUAAGUCAAAACUUUCAACAACGGAUCUCUUGGUUCUG
This 230-nucleotide unclassified non-coding RNA is filed under the name plant metagenome. Its description in RNAcentral is "partial contains small subunit ribosomal RNA, internal transcribed spacer 1, and 5.8S ribosomal RNA". The record is from RNAcentral.